RNAcentral lists this ribosomal RNA (492 nucleotides) under uncultured bacterium. RNAcentral describes it as "partial 16S ribosomal RNA". It matches the Rfam family "Bacterial small subunit ribosomal RNA", at positions 29 to 507 of the family's 1533-position model. The record is from RNAcentral.
AGUGGACGCUGGCGGUAGGCCUAACACAUGCAAGUCGAACGGCAGCACAGUAAGAGCUUGCUCUUACGGGUGGCGAGUGGCGGACGGGUGAGGAAUACAUCGGAAUCUACUUUUUCGUGGGGGAUAACGUAGGGAAACUUACGCUAAUACCGCAUACGACCUACGGGUGAAAGCAGGGGAUCUUCGGACCUUGCGCGAUUGAAUGAGCCGAUGUCGGAUUAGCUAGUUGGCGGGGUAAAGGCCCACCAAGGCGACGAUCCGUAGCUGGUCUGAGAGGAUGAUCAGCCAGACUGGAACUGAGACACGGUCCAGACUCCUGCGGGAGGCAGCAGUGGGGAAUAUUGGACAAUGGGCGCAAGCCUGAUCCAGCCAUACCGCGUGGGUGAAGAAGGCCUUCGGGUUGUAAAGCCCUUUUGUUGGGAAAGAAAAGCAGCAGGUUAAUACCCCGCUGUUCUGACGGUACCCAAAGAAUAAGCACCGGCUAACUUCGUG